ACGCUCGACACCUACGGGGGGCAGCAGUUGGGAAUAUUGGACAAUGGAGGAAACUCUGAUCCAGUGACGCCGCGUGAAGGAAGAAGGUCUUCGGAUUGUAAACUUAUUUUGUCAGGGAAGAAAAAUGACUGUACCUGAAGAAAAAGCACCGGCUAACUACGUGCCAGCAGACGCGGUAAUCUGAGCGGGCUGGCAAGGC
RNAcentral lists this ribosomal RNA (199 nucleotides) under uncultured bacterium. RNAcentral describes it as "partial 16S ribosomal RNA". It matches the Rfam family "Bacterial small subunit ribosomal RNA", at positions 328 to 539 of the family's 1533-position model. The record is from RNAcentral.